Molecule: ribosomal RNA, 450 nt
Filed under: uncultured bacterium
Lineage: Bacteria
Description: partial 16S ribosomal RNA
Rfam family: Bacterial small subunit ribosomal RNA
Source: RNAcentral
GUGGGGAAUAUUGGACAAUGGGCGCAAGCCUGAUCCAGCCAUACCGCGUGGGUGAAGAAGGCCUUCGGGUUGUAAAGCCCUUUUGUUGGGAAAGAAAUCCUGUCGGUUAAUACCUGGCGGGGAUGACGGUACCCAAAGAAUAAGCACCGGCUAACUUCGUGCCAGCAGCCGCGGUAAUACGAAGGGUGCAAGCGUUACUCGGAAUUACUGGGCGUAAAGCGUGCGUAGGUGGUGGUUUAAGUCCGUUGUGAAAGCCCUGGGCUCAACCUGGGAAUUGCAGUGGAUACUGGAUCACUAGAGUGUGGUAGAGGGAUGCGGAAUUUCUGGUGUAGAAGUGAAAUGCGUAGAGAUCAGAAGGAACAUCCGUGGCGAAGGCGGCAUCCUGGGCCAACACUGACACUGAGGCACGAAAGCGUGGGGAGCAAACAGGAUUAGAUACCCUGGUAGUCC